RNAcentral lists this ribosomal RNA (253 nucleotides) under uncultured bacterium. Its description in RNAcentral is "partial 16S ribosomal RNA". It matches the Rfam family "Bacterial small subunit ribosomal RNA", at positions 524 to 776 of the family's 1533-position model. The record is from RNAcentral.
UACGUAGGCAGCGAGCGUUGUUCGGAGUUACUGGGCGUAGAGGGUGUGUAGGCGGUUCUUUAAGUUUGGUGUGAAAUCUCCCGGCUCAACCGGGAGGGUGCGCCGAAUACUGAGGGACUAGAGUGCGGGAGAGGAAAGUGGAAUUCCUGGUGUAGCGGUGAAAUGCGUAGAUAUCAGGAGGAACACCGGUGGUGUAGACGGCUUUCUGGACCGUAACUGACGCUGAGACACGAAAGCGUGGGUAGCAAACAGG